Molecule: ribosomal RNA, 253 nt
Filed under: uncultured bacterium
Lineage: Bacteria
Description: partial 16S ribosomal RNA
Rfam family: Bacterial small subunit ribosomal RNA
Source: RNAcentral
UACGGGGGGAGCUAGUGUUGUUCGGAUUAACUGGGCGUAAAGGGCGCGUAGGCGGUUAUGUAAGUUAUGAGUGAAAUCCUAAGGCUUAACCUUAGAACUGCUUGUAAAACUGCAUAACUAGAGUAUGGUAGGGGGUAAUAGAAUUCCUAGUGUAGAGAUGAAAUUCUUAGAUAUUAGGAGGAAUACCGAUGGCGAAAGCGAUUACCUGGGCCAUUACUGACGCUAAGGCGCGAAAGCGUAGGGAGCAAACAGG